Molecule: ribosomal RNA, 253 nt
Filed under: uncultured bacterium
Lineage: Bacteria
Description: partial 16S ribosomal RNA
Rfam family: Bacterial small subunit ribosomal RNA
Source: RNAcentral
UACGGAGGGAGCUAGCGUUGUUCGGAUAUACUGGGCGUAAAGCGCACGUAGGCGGCGCCGUAAGUCAGGGGUGAAAUCCCGGAGCUCAACUCCGGAACUGCCCUUGAAACUGCAGUGCUAGAAUCUUGGAGAGGCGAGUGGAAUUCCGAGUGUAGAGGUGAAAUUCGUAGAUAUUCGGAGGAACACCAGUGGCGAAGGCGGCUCACUGGUCCAUUACUGACGCUGAGGUGCGAAAGCGUGGGGAGCAAACAGG